UUCCCGGGCGCGUCGUGAUGACGCGUCCCGGCCUCCCCGGCCCCGCUCCCUCGAUCGCCGGGCCCUGCCGCGGCCGCGUCUAGCUCCCCGGGGGUCCCCGUUAUCGCCCGCGAGUGGCGGGGCGGUCCUGCCCCGUCACAUCCACCUUGUGAUCCCAUGUAGCCCAGUUUUACAUUUAUUUUGCUGAGUUGCUCUUGAUUUACAACUGUGAAGAUGAUUUACAGAAUGUGGCCCACUGUGUACUGUCUUUAUCUCAGUUAUUAAUGCAACCUUAGUAAUAAUGUGCAGUGUUAGAUUAUAUUAUAUAAUGAUGGUACCUCAGUGUCCUCAGAAAAUGUGCCCCUCACCCAUCCACCCACACAUACAUAAAACUUUGAAAAUGUUAUACAUACAUAUGAGAUUGUAUGGGUGCUAAAUGGGUUGGUUUUCAAAUCUAUAUGGCAUGUACAUUAAUGGGUCACAUUAAUGUAUAUUAAUGGUUCUUUAUCAGCUUCUAUUUGUGGGUAUAUAGUAUUCUGCAGGUUUCAUCUAUGCACAUAGUUACUUGUCCAGGCAGUGAGAGAAAUUACACAAGCAAAGCUUAUUUUAACUGCAGUUUACAUGCGUACCAUGAGUGUCUUUGCAUGCAAGAGAUAGUGUGCGAUGAAUUGUAAGUAAAGUGUAAUGCUGGCAGGCAGAACCAAACCUAAGAACUCUGGAGCUUAAUGUGUGAGUCUCUAGAGCUUAAGCCAAAAGCCAGAUGCCUCUCAGCUAAGGCUGUAGAGCCAACUCAUUCUUUCGCUCUGCAAGUGGUCUAACUGCCACUACAUGGGACAGUGAACCACACCAGCAGGUGUGUGGGUUACACAAGCAAAGGUAUGCACAACCCUCAUGCAUGCAAUAAAGAAUCUCUGGGCCAGAUUCUGUGGUACAUUCUCACCAUUUCAUAUUGCUCGUAACUAAAGGGACCAGAAAACAGCUGGAGCUACUCAGUUUGGGCAGCCUCCAGUGAUGGCUCCUGCACUGCAGCCCCCAGUGUAAGGGGAAUGUCAAGAGCAGGAAAGGGCAUGACUGGAGUACUUUUGGUCUGUGGCAGUCCACAGCUGCCCUCAUCUACACCCAGACUAAUGCAGAAUCAUUCUUGAAGUCAAGUAGCCACAAAUGGCUGUUUGUGAUUCCUAAACUCCUCUGAGCUGCAUUGGUACAGACAAGGUGCCUCCCAGAACCUAUUUUGAAAGAAUAAUCCCGUAUGUGUAGGGAUUAUAUCAUAAUGUAUACAUGGUGCAUCCAUAAAUAAAUGUAGAUUUGUCAUCCCUGAAGGAGGGAAAGCAAAUGCCAUUUCAAACCAUUGUAAGUACUAUUUAUACCACAGCCCUGUUAAGAGGAGGAGAGAGCUGUCACUAACAUGGAAAAAACACUUAUGUAAAAGCUACUUUUCCAAAUGUAAUGUUGAUUGGCAAGGCUAGAUACUCCCUGAGCUGACUCUUUUCCUUCUCUAAGGGUGAAGUCCUGCUCACCUUGCUCGUGUGAGUAUUCCCGUGAUGUCAAUGGAUCUAGUUUUGAAACAGAAUAGGAUUUGGUCUAACAUUUGGCUGCAAAAGUAUCUUUCAACAGUUAUUUACUAGGGGCUCCUUUUUUACCAACAAAGAGUUUUCUUCAGGUUCAGAAGGUACUGCAGGUCUGGUUACAGCAGUGUUUUCUAUUGGUUUUCCAGAGCUUGCAGCAGCCCUCUGACAUAAAGAAACAUACUGACGUUCAAAGUCUUGACCCAUUCAACUAUCUGUGGAUAACAUGCAUCAAUGAUAGGUACAGCAUCAGUCAUUUGAUGCUGGCUGCAUAUGCAUUUAAUUACUAUCUAUCAAAAUAAAUAUAAUUCUUCUGUUGGUUUUACCAGCAAAGAAAAUAGCAACCGACCAACAAACAAAAGCCAAAGAAAUUAGAGUUGCUUUUUAGGAAUAAUUGAUUGCUCUGAUUUUUUUUUUUACAAUAGGCCUUCAAGUAAAUCAAAGCUGAUUAAAAAGUCUGGUAUUGAGGGGUUUUUUGGCCAUCUCUUCAACUAUUUUUUAAACACUCAAAUACCUUAAUAAUAUUAUCUGAACACACAUAUAUACAUAUUAGUGGCAGUAGUGCUGGUGUUAGGAAGAAUAAAGUACCAUCUAUUAAACAGCAUCCAUCUCAGAACCUUCCUAACACCAAAAGAAAGUGCAUAUAUCACAGGACCACUGAGAUAAAGUAACGCUCAGCCCUAGAGGGCACAGAUUUCGUCUUUAUGUAAAUCAGCGCCUGUCACUGCAUGCAUGAUUCACUGCUCAGAGUGUACUCUUCUGUGACGAAUGAGUCCCGCUUAAUUUGGCAGUGAUUAUGCGGGUUGCUGGCCCUCUAAACCCCUUUGAACUUGUAAUUGCUGCUGGUUUAAAUAAUGAACAUUAAGGGGAGGUGGAUUCAUAAAACUGCAGAUAAUUACAAUUUUUUUCUUUUUUCCUUUGUUUUUUUUUUAUGGAAAUAAAAGGCUUCUGAGGCCAAAGAUAACUGUAUCGUGCUAGGUUGUUACCGAAAUAAAAUUGCAGUCUUGUUCAGUAUCAAGGAACGAAAGGGAAAGAAAGAGGAAAAGAGGGAGAGAGAGAGAGAGAGAGAGAGAGAGCUCAGAAUGGCUUGGAUGCCAGUAGAAAAGGAGGAGCAAUGGCAUUCAUGAAUAUUCAUAGCUAGUCACAUCUGUAGCAGGCUUGCUUUCCACCUUUUUUUCUUUGCAGUUCAACAUGGACUAGAAGUGCUAACAAAAGAAGGUGAUUGUGCAGUUCUAUCAGGUUCCAGGUUUAAUCUUUGCAGUGCAUACUGGUGAACUAACUUACUUUUUUUUCUUUUAAAGACUUCUGAUUUUAAAAAAAACCCACACCAACCAAACAAAAAACAUGCCUUUAACCAGAGGAUUUUUUUUCCUGUGCAGCUUUUUUUAAAAUUAUGUUCCUGUAAUUAUGAAUGUGAGGGAUUCAGUUGCCAAGGAAGCAUGAUGUGUAACAUGGAGCAAAAUCAUUUCCCCCAUUUAUGUGCAGUUUACUAAAUGCUCCAAUAAUUUUUCAUUCAGUACAAUUUUUAUUUUUGUGGGUUAUGUAUCAAAACAAAAGACAGUGUUAUUGAGGUGGGGGCAGAAACCAAAGUCAGCCAAGUCAGCCAGCUACUACCCAGAAACAACAAAGAAUGAAUGAUAAAUUUAGCAGCCUCAUGUUCAAUUUUCAAACAACACAGCAGAGAUUUAUAGCUUUGCUGCUUCCAUGGCAAAUGAAGCAGCACACAGAAAGCGUGUCUGUUUUUGAUUUUGCUAUGUUUUCCCCCUUUUUCUGUUCUUUGUCUAUUUGCAGGAUUUUUUUUAAAACUCUACAUUUUCUUUAUCCUGGUGUGAGAUGAAUAUCAAAGGCCUAGUGCUGUUGGUAAGCCUCCAGCAUACAACAGCAGCUCAAUGGGAUGUUAUUAGAACCUGCGUCACAACAUGGCAGACUGUGAUUAAUAGCAACUGUAUCAACGGUAGCAACUUCUCAACAACACCCUCCAGCAGCUCUAAAGGGGCCAAGUGAAAAGGGGGGGAAGUCUGUAAAAACUAGCUACCAAAGGUUCAGUUAUGCAUAUGAGUAGGUUAUGUCACAACUAUGCAACUGCUUUCAGCCAGAAGAUAGUGGUGGUAUUUAUUUAAAAGAACACUGCCAAACACAGACUGAUCAGAAUUUUUGAUUUGCCAGAGCCAAACACAUUAAGAACUGAACUUCUGGAUAGAGAGAAGGAUCUUAUGGAGCUCAGGAAUGAUUUUAGUGAUGUAAUGGAGGUCCCUACAAAGACAUCAACAGAAAUUUUCCCAGCGCUUCAGCGAUAUGUAAGCAACGGCAGGGUUGUCAAAAGUUCUCUUGCAUAUACGUAGAGGAAACUGACUUUUAUUUCAAAUGAAGUUUGAAUUUGCAUCAUUGCUCAAUCAUUUUUCUAAAAUUACAACUUGGAAACUUGGAAACUGGCCCAAACCAAACCCCUAGAUCCAAACACUCUGGAAUGUAUAAAGUUUUUCAAAAACCCAAUCCAAAUCCAGAAAAUAAUUAUGCAAAUGUCCCUUUAUCUUCAAGGGGAACCAAACCAAAUGUCAAAACAACCCAGAUUUGGAGGUGUUCCAGCCUCAGACCUGAAAUGUAGAGAGUGGUUCCUGUCUGUUUAAUAUUAACAUUUCCUUUCCAUAAAACACUUUUACAGUUUAGUCAUUUUAAUUGGUGUUACCUGUAGUUUUUUAAGCAAACAAACAAACAAACAUACAUACAUGGCGGUUAUUCUGCUGGCCUCUGUCAGUCCAAGAUAAGAGGUACAGUGUAUCUCUGCACAGGUAAGUGAUGUUACUGGUCUCAGUUACAAAUUGCACUUUUAUCAUAUUGUUGCAGCACACAGUAAAUAGCUGCUUGUAAGAGAACAAUUAAUCGUGUAACAGUUUUACUCCACCUCUCAAGGAAUGAGGGAGAAGAAAAAGAGGACUUCUUGUUAUCAGGGCUGAUGAUGAAGAAGGUAAUCAGCAGUUGGAAAGAGACAACACCACCCAGGGAAGUGGUCUGUAAAUUAGAGGAGCAGGUUAGCAGAGCAUAGGAAGGAGGAAAAACACUAGUGUAUUAUGCUGUCAUCUCUCAGGAGUUAGAAUGACGGAAUAGGCACUCAUGGUCAAAGUAUCUCUUGUUGAUCAGUUAUUUUUAAUCUAAUGCCCCUCUCAUCUUUAAUUAUUAUGUAGUUAUUUCUACUGAAAAAGCAGGGUUUAUACUGUGUAGAGUCUAGGGAUAAUGCUGUUGUAUCUGGGAUACUAAAAAUGCUAGUCCUAAAUGUCAUUAAAAACACAAAAAAACCACUAGCUCAUUUUACCCACAUUACAAAUGCAAGCAAGUUGCUCAGCCAGUCACAGACAUAUGUAUUUGAGCCAAAGACUUCAAGCACUACCUUGUUACCUGCACGUAUUUGAAGACCAUAAUUAAGAAGCGCAAAUUGGUUUACAGUAAACACAAGAAAUUGGAAGAGAUCUGUGCUUACAAUUUUCUCAAACACUAAUUUUCUUUAUCUGAGCAUCAAGGGUGAUUAAAAUCAUGGGGCAAUUAGCUGCUGAGUGAAGAGAUCACUUACUGUUGCAGAAAGACAGACCGCCCUUACAAGAUCUCAAAAAUAAAAACCUAGGCUCCAUUUUCAGCUGCAUCCAGUGGUAAGGAAAUGCCAAGGAACUGUUUGUGGCUUCCUGAUCCAAGGCUUGGCUAAGGAUAGUGCAGUACUUGAUGUGGUUUACAGCAGACUCCUGGAACUGAGGGCGCCCAACAGCACUCUGCCUACACCCCUUGCUAAUCAGGAUGUCCCUGGUAUAUCCUCUAGUCUGUGGGAUGGGAGAUAUGUGGCACAGGAACUGGCUAUGAUAGAGAAGUCCCAACCUGGACUUUCCAGACCUUUACCAUGUGAGAGUGGCACAAAAUGGAUCAAGCCAUAAAAGUGAAUAGCGAACUGUGGAGUCUCAUAGAAAAAUUUGCAAAGUGUUUCCCUGAUAUCUCAUAAUGAUCCUAGAUAAGUCACUUAGCCCUAAAUUAUCCCCAUUUGGGGUUUUUCCCUUCUUAGGGGAUCAGAAAAUUGGUGUGUUUGUGAUCAGAGUGUUUCUUUCUAUUUGUUCUAUUGGAGAUUGGGUGAAAUAGAGCUCGAUACCCAAGGAAUUAACAAGGUAGUCAACCUAUGUAUUACCCAAGAUCUUGAGGGAUAUAGUGGAGAUCGAGAUUGACCAAUAGAAGCUUUGUGCCUCUACACUGCACCCUAGUCUCCCCUGACAGGACCUCCACUGGAGAGUGAGUAUGCCAAAAACUGAGUUACCUGGGUGGCCCCAGUAUCAGCACACCCCACAAGAAAAUGGACCAGAUGGCAAUUAGAUUAAGGCUGACAAGACCAAUAUUAACACACUUGAUGAUAUCCUCUGGUUCAGGAAGAAUAAUUCCAUAGAUAGUGGGUUUUUCCCUAGCCAUUCCUUUCUUGUCCCAAUAUAUAACUUCCAUUGCCAGCUGAAGACCCUAAUACACACUGAAAGGGUCCUACGAAUACAGGGAAGCAGACGUAAAGAUUCUGUGGCAGAACUCUCACCAAUCAUGUCCUAUAAAAACAAAAUUGCUGCCUUAGGGUCAAAAGCUGCCUUCAGAUGUCUGGCUCUCACUGGUAUCUAUAGGAGCCACAUCCUAGGGGAGUCAAUAAAUGGACCAUGGGCCAAAUAUGAACUGCCAGGUGCUUUUGAAUGCCCUAAAUUAUAUUAUUAAUUAUUUUAUUUUAUUGCUGGUAACAUGGGAAUAACCAGAAGAAAAAGAAAAACAGAGACAUGAUACAUUUGCUUGGAUGAAGUACAGUUUACUCCUGUUCUUCUGUAUUCAUGAGAGUAAAUUUCAGAAAUAACCAAAGCAAAAGUGACAAAACCCCAAAACCACAAUGAGUAAACAGUAGUUUUUUAAGUGCUGUGGGAACAGAGACAUUUGUUUAAGUAACCACUGUUUAAAAAUUACAGACAUAGUAACACCAAAAUAAACAGAUUGCAAUGCUGUUUAUUUUAAGAUACACAAUAGUAAUGCAAGUGUGACAUGCCCUGAAUUCAGGGUGCACUAACAUUAUUUACAGUUCUGAAGACCAGUAGGAAAACUCAGCUACAUGCCAGAAUACUCCCUGUUCAGAUGAGAUCAAAGGUCAGGCAAAGGAGCGAAUUCAUUUUUUUUCCAGCAAGGAUUAUUUCAACAUGCAGCCACAGAACAGCGCUGCUCGCUCUGCCCAUGUAAGUCAGUCCUUCAAAGUCCUUCAGAAGGCAUUGUUUGUUAGCACCGCGUUGAACAAUGAACAACUAAUUCUGGGGAAGGAUUAUGGAUAGCGAUAGGAGAAUUCAGGAGUAAAUACCGUCAGGGAAUGUCUACACUAGGAAAUUAUUUUGAAGUAAGUAAAUUUCAAAAUAAUAACUCCCGAAAUAACAAAAUCGAAAUAGCAUGUCCCCACUACAAGGAGUGUUGAAAUUCGUCUGAGAUAGGCUCCAUUAAUGUGGAUGCGCUACCUUGACUUAGAGCCCCAGGAAGCACUGGGGAGUAAUUACUUCAAAUUACUCUGGGAAGUAGUUAUUUUGAAAUAGCAGCAGCGGAGCAUGCUAUUUAAAAAUAAGAGUUAUUCUCUGAGGAAAGCAGGAGUACAGACUUAGAAAUAACCAUCCUGCUAUUUCGAAAUAACGGGCUUAGUAGUGUGGACGCUCCACUUUUUAUUUUGAAAUAAGGGGGGUUAUUUCAAAAUAGCUCCCUAGAGAAGAGCAGAGCUCAGAGAGAUUUAAAACCCACUUCACCCACCAUUUUUUAAAAAUUCUCCAAAUAAGCCAUGCUCAUUAGCUCAGUUUGAACUGGACAAAAGAUGCAAAAAAGGGGGUUAAUGCUAACAAAACUUUAAGAGCAGUUCUACUCUGAAAAGUGACUAUGUAAAAAGAAAACCUGCCUUACUAGAUUUGUGGCAUGUGUAUUCUGAGUCAUAUCCGAUUACUUUACUGGCAAAAUUCCAAUUGACUUGGUGCAGGAUCAAACCCUAAAGCAAGUUUAUGCUACUUUUUAGGGUUUUUUUAGCCCACUGGAGCCAGUCUAGCUAUAGGUGAGUGAACUAUUUCUAUUUCAACCCUUGCAUCAUCAACUGAUUUUUUUCUUAUUAUUGCAAAAUUAUUGUUAUGGUAGAAUCUUUAUUGAGAACAAUGACUGUGCCAGAAAGAAUCUAGGCUGGCCCUUGGAUCUCUGGCUGAAUUUGCAGGUGCUGGCAAUUAGAAAAUGCUUAUUUUGACAUGUAAACUGAGCACAUUUGAUCUGUAAGUCAUUGAGACAAACAUGGAACUCCAGCGUCCCGUUAUUACAAAGUCACUUUUCAUAGCAGAACUGCACUUCACAUUCAAAAUAUAAUCUAUUCCUUAUUGGUGGUUUUGAGUGAAAGUGAAAUUCAGCAGUUUCUGUCAGUGGGUUUUGACUCAAUAGUUUCUUGGGUUCACUCCACGUCCCGCACAACCUGAGUUUUGAAUUGAAAUUUGGGGUUGGAACCAACACAAUAUCUGUAAGUGAAAUACAGAUUACUGGAAAACCUUACCUGGUUUGGCACUAGGAUUCCAGUGCAAAACUAUAACCUGACAGUUUUGCAUGAAAUUUGAAGUGGCCCGAGAAGUAAAUGUCACUUUUUCCACAUUGCGCCUCUGUUUUCCCAUCUGUAAAAUGAUGAAAAUAAUACUACCCUCAUUUAUUAAAGGAAAGGCUUGGAGACCAUCUGAUGAAAAGCACUUAUAUAAGAGUUAUUAUAUUAUUCUAUUUUGAACACUCAAGAGUUUCAUGGUAUUUUGAUCCAGGGCUUGAAUUUAGCCACCCUGGAAAUGGGGCCAAAGGUGAAAUCUGGAUCCAGGUUUAGAUUCCAACCAUCAUCAAAGUUGGAAAUGUUAAGAUUGAGGGUCUGAGUUUAGACCUAUCGCUGCUUGAAAUAUUUUUCAACUAUAGUGAGUCAGUUAGACAUUGUGACAGUUGAGAUCAGCUAAUGUGUCUGACAGGCCAUACACAUGGAUGUGUGGGAGUAAGGUAUUUUCAGUGCAGUGUCCUCAACUCUAGACCUUGCACCCCUCAUUGAUUUGACAGAGCCUUAGUCUGCUGACCUUCAACGCACAGUGUAAUUUACAGCUAUUUGUUCAAGCCUUAGCCUGAGGUGAUAGUGUUGUGUAUAUUUGUUAUAUUUACAUCUUAAUUUAGGGGAAUGAAGUCAUUUAUAUUUUGACUUUGGUCAAAAAAAUGUGCAUAGAAAGUAAGAAUUUCUGCACAUGCCUACAGAGCCAACUGGAAUAAGUGUACUUUUAAAAAUCCAAACAUAAAUAAAAAUUAACAAAAACCAUAAAACAAGAUGACUUUGGCGAGGUUUCUUUGUGAACCAGGCUCUCAUGUUUAGGGUUAUGUUGUAAAUGUUUCACUAGAAACAAAAAGUGAGAGGCAGAUGAGAAGAGUCAGGCCUAGAAGGAUUAAACCUACCCCAGCAAGUCAGGAUCACACUGAAUAGUAGUUUCUCAAACUUCAUUGCACCAUGAUCCUGUUCCAACAACCAAACUUCCUACACAAUCCUAGGAAGGGGGACCAAAACCCAAACCCACAGGGAACCCAAAGAUAAAGCCUCAACUUUACCAUCAUGUAGGGCACUAAAGCUUGAGGGCUUCAGCUCUGGGUAGUGGGGCUUACACUUGAAGGGGUUCAGCCUUGAGCUUCAACAAGUCUAAUGCCAGCCCUGGUGACCCCAUUAAAAUGGUAUCAUGAGACCCAGUUUGGGGUUCAGACCCCAAAGCGCUGUGCCGUGUCAUCUUAAAAGUUCCCUAUGAAAAGUUAUUUCCCUGUUUCCUUUGCUUAUUAUCCUACAGUCUUAUAGAUUUUAAUGUCAAUACAUUUUUCUAGUAGUCAGCCUAAAUGUAGGUUUUCAUGCCAUUAUUCCUAAUCAUACCUUUUUAUUCCACCCUACACCAUUCCUCUUCCUCAUUGUUUAUAGCCUUCAAUUAUUCACAGAUUCAUUCCUCAUACCCUCUCUCUGUUUCUCCAAAUCCCAGUUUUUUAAAAGGGGGGCCAGUUAAAGAACAGCAUAGGAUCUCAAUUCUCAGAUCUCAUCGUCUUUCAAUCUCCCUUCCAUUUUUAGGGAAUCAAUGCUCUGCAACUCCUAGUUCUCCAAACAUCCUCUUUCUUUCCAUCUGUAGUCUUUCUCACAGACAUUCACUGGUCUGGCCUCAGGCUACUUUCAUAAUCAUCAAGAAAUAAACCAAACCCGAUGUUCAGCAUGAGAUCACAACACAGUGAUCUCACUCUGAACAUUACCUUUCAUUACAGCAACACUAUUGACUCCUUUGCUUAGAACAGUGUGAAUUUCCCACCAGCUCAGUUGUGUGAUAUUUGGCCUCUUUUAGGCUAACUAACUCCUCAUAGAGCAAGCCUAGAGGACAAAGAGUAGAAAGCUCAUGAGUCUCGAGGGCUUGUUUGCAAUCCUAGCAAAAAGUUUGCUACAGCUCUAGUUCAGGAGAGAGCGGAGUAUUAGAGUGAAAAGGAGGCGGGGGGGACAUUAUCACCUAUCUUCAGCUAGUGUCUUGAAUCGGAUUCAGAUAUCAGGAAGCCACACUUGGGAUAAUGUUAACAGUUCUAGAGUUACUUAUUCAUAACCAUGCUGGCAAAACUUCAUGGUCUUGCUUAUUGGAAGAUUUGUUUGCAUUUGUUUUUAUCCUACAUCAACAUAUAAUUUUUUGAAUAGUGGAAUUUAAUCCCCUUUACAAACCUUAUCUCUCUCUAAAUCAGGGGUGGGCAAGACAUGGGCUAUGAGCCAGAUCCAGCCUGCCAAGCCAUUGGAUCAGGCCUGCGGGCCACAUGAUCCAGCCCAUAGGCUGCCCCUUAGGCACAGAGCAGCCAGCUGCUUCAGAGCAGCCCAAAACCACUUUAAAUGACUAGCUGCUUGCUGUGUCUCUCUGCUCCAGGCGCCAGGGAGAGGGAGGCUUCACGGAAAAUGGCCAAAGGGAGCUGAGAUAUUUUCCUGGAGGGAAAGGCGGUGCGUGAAUUCUCCCCCUCUCCCCAGCACCUGGAGCAGAGAGACACAGGGAACAGCCAGCCAUUUUGAGCAGCCUGGGGCUGUGGCAGGCAGGGAGCCAACUUGGGGUUCUGUAGGGCUGCUGGCCAGCAGCCACCUAGGUAAGUACCUCCCAGCCAUACCCUGCCUCUGGAACCCCAGCCCCUCCAUCACCCUAUCCCUGUUCCAGGCUACUGUCCCCACCUGCCUAGGUCACCAUCAAACCCUCUGCAUCCCCUCCCCUCCUUCCCAGGUCACAACUCCCUCCCUGACCCUGAACUCCCUCCUGCACCCUUGCCUCAGGCCAGAAUUCUCUCCUGCACCCAUGACCCCUCCUGGACCUUGCCCUCCAAGCACCUGUUCCAGAUCACAUCCCCUUCUUCAUCCAAACUCCCUCUCAUACCCCACACCUCUCCUGUACCCCAAUCCUUUUCCUUAAGCUCCCUUCUGCACAUAACCUCCAUCCCAGAUCCUGCACCCCCUCCAUAAACAAGCGCAGCCCUUAACCACUUACCAAAAUUUUGGAGUGGCUCUCCGUCGCAAAUUAUUGCCCAUCCCUGCUGUAAAUGGAACAUGCUUGGAAAAAAGGGGAGACCAUGGCUUUUUCCUUUGAAGUUUCUUUGCAUCCAAAAGCACUGUGGGAUACAAGUUCAGGUUUCAUGGAGCCAGGACAGCUAAAAUUAAUUACAGUAGUGAAUUGUCUGCAAAGGCUAGAUGUGCGCUAAGCAGUGGGAUUUUCUUCUGGUUUGUGAAAUGUUUGCUUGACAUUUAGUGAACAGCAUGAGACACACACAUACAAAGCUCCUUCUCUACGCCUGAGAUAUAAUAGGUAUAUUAUGUUAAAACAAUAUAGGUUGAUUGUGAUCCUUCUAAAAUACAGAAGCCCGUCCCAUCAACCACAGCAAAGGACACACCAACAUCUUUCUUCUAGAAGACUUUACCUCAUUUAAUGAAGUGCCAACAGCACUGAGAGGAGGCAGAGAGAGAAACCAAGAGCAUGUGGAACAUUCCUUUGCAGCAGUAACUGGCAGCAGGGGGUGGAGGGUAUUAAACAAUUUUUUUCUUACCUUGCACAAUAAAUAGCUUAUUUUCAAAUUUCUCUGGGUUUCAUCACAUAAUAAUUUAUUCAGAAGGGAGCUUCUGAGUGUCCCUUUCUCACUGGAAUUACAAAGGACCCUCCAGGGGCUUAGCAAUAUUCAGCAGGGCUUAGAAACACAUAUUCAAACUAGGGCCUAUGCUCGGUAGCACUGACCCUUUUUAUAUACAACCUCUUUUGUCACCCUUUUUAAAUAUCCAUUUCACUUUCUUCACACCCCUGCUGUCUCUGCCCCUUUGCUAUCACCCCUCCUUAUGCAAGCAAAUGGCAACAAAAACUUUCAUCCCCUACACCCUUGCCUAGGAUUGGCCUCCCCUUGUGGCUUGCUGUUCUGGCAGUAAGGAGGCUACAAACAGACACAAAGGUAGGCUUCAAAAGAGCUCACAGCUGCCUCUCUCUGCUCCUUAGUAGCCAUGGGACUUUCCUAAAGUGAAGGAGGGUCUUUGGAAGCUUUCUAAUUCCUGCUUGUCCUUUGCUCUUCCCUCUGGUGCACUCUGGGGUGUCCCACUUCCCCCUCCCUCUUCGAGCUAAUCAAACACUGGGAAAGGAACAGAUGGGAAGUAGCUGCAUGCAGCAAAAGAGACUGCAAAGGACCAGCAGGAGUAGGAAAGUUGUCAAAAGCCCUGCUUCACUUUAGGAAACUCCCAUGGUUAGUGAAGAAGAGGAGAAACAUCUAAUGACUCUUUGAAACCCAGCAUUAUAUGUCUUGUUUGAUGCCACUUAGCCGUUCUCUUCCCUUCAUGCCAGUGGAAGCCCCAGUCAUACCAUGGGGUAAAAUUUGUGCCCAGCGUAGUUUUACUUAUUACCUGGAUAAUCUCAGAACCUCUUAGGACAGCUGAGGAAUACUAGAUUCCAUGGGCUUUUAACAACCCUGUUGACAGAUUUUCAGCAAAGAUAGAACUUGAGACCUUCCUCAAUGAGCAGCACAGGAGAAAGACAUAGGUCAUUGGGGCUAAUGCACCUACUGCUGCUGAAAAGCUGUUCUCUUCAGUGUAGACCAGGGGGAACACAUCACAACCCUAGGUAUUAUACACUCUCCCUGACUGGGGUAGUUCAUUCUGAGCUUUUGAAGUCUACAACUAUGUGAUUUCCUGAACAGACAUCUGAUUUAUGAGACCUGUUCAUCAGCAAGGAUGCACCCAGCAAUGACACAGGUCGGUAAUAACAAAGCUAUUCUAAGCAACUCUUAUAUGAUGCUUUUCAUCCACAUAUCUCAAAGUAUAUUAAAGGAGGCCAGUGUCAUUAUCCCCAACUGUAUACAGGGGGGAACCAAGGCAAGGUCACCAGCAGAAAAAGGAAAAAGAACCCAACUUUCCUGAGUCCCAGUCCAGGGUACUAAUCAUUCAGCCAGUUUCCCUGGUAGCAGUAUUCUGUGGUCUAGUCACUAGAGGGAGACAUGUUGCCCUUCCUCCUCACUAAAGCAAUUGGUAAUUCCAGAACCAGAUCAGCAGGGCUUGAAGGUUUUACAAAUAUCUAAUAUAGUGUAUGAAUCAAUAGCUCUUUUGAAGUAAUCAUAAUCUUUGGGGUUAUUAGGAAGCAAAACUGACCUCAUUAUGACCUCACGGUCUCAUCUCCUACCGUAUGCUGUUUCUAUAUUAGCGCUCAGAUAGAUCCCUUAAAAAUUACGGAAGGACAAAGAUGGCUAGGCAUUAAUCUGUGAAUUAUCUGCAACUAUUUCAGUACAGUGAAAUUAAACCUACAUGUUUGCCCCUGCUAGGGAAAAAAGGGAAGCUGUUUUUAAAAAGACAAUAUUGGGUAAUAAUGCAGCAUAUAUCAUCUGUUAAUUUUUUUUUCAAAUUAGUAUAACAGGGUUCAAAGUACUCUUGAGUAGAUUUUCAUCUCAGAAAAUAUCUACUCUAUUUGUACAGUAUAAAAGUGAACAGCAGAAUUACCAUUGCUUUGAGACUUAGGCAAAUAUAGUUUCCACUUUAGAAUAUUCAGCUACCACUUAGAAAUGUACUUCAAUCCAAGCAGAAAAUAAUCCACACGACAGUCACAUUUCUAUGUAACCAUGCAAAUAAAUAUAUACAGAUUUUUUUAUAGCAAACUAAAAUUUUAGUUGAUUUUUUUUACUAAAUUCAAACUCUGAUUCAGUGUACUGGGACUGUAAAAGCAUGUCAUGAGGUGUUAAACAUUUUAUGGACAAAGUAGUCAAAAGCUACAAAUAUUUUCUUUGAAAAUACCAUAAUAAAAAGAUAAAACCAAGAUUUAAAAAAUAUCUUUAUGCCAUUAUACAGUGACUUGACAACCUAUCAUCCACUAUUAGACAAAACAAUUGAAAUUAAUUCUGGCAGAUAUGGGACUAGCAGUUAAAAAUAAAAAUAGCACAUGUAAAAGCAUGAAAACUGUAUUGCUAUUAUGUUUUAAGAUAAUAAUAAAUCUUUAAAGGUGCCAAUGAUUGCUUUGGAUACUGUAAACAGCUGCUGACAAUCAACUCUGAAAUAUGUAAUACAUUGGUAUUCUGAGUGUAACUUAAGGCAAACUCCAUGAAACCAAAAGUAAUGUUGUCUGCCAUAAACGACUCAUUUCAUUAGACAGAAAUGGGACUAGACAUCUCCAUUUCAUAGUCAUGUUGGAAUGGUGCAUGCAGAUGACAGAAUUGCACACUCAUUACACUAUAGCUCUAAUUUUAUAGAAAAUUAUUCCUGAAAAACAAUUAUUCUGUUCAGAGAUCUUGAAAAGGUGGUUUUAAAUAAACAUGUCCUAAGGCAAAACUGAGGGGUGGUAUCAUUUUACACAAACAACUGCAACAAUUUUUCUAUAAAAAGAAAAACUACAGUGUGGAGAAAGAAGGUUCUGUGACUAUCCUAUUGCAAAAUGUUGUUAAGCAAUGCAACUUUAAGCUAUUCAGAUGAUCUUUGACCUUUGUUCCAUUGUGAUCUGAAUAUUCAGAGAUUCUGUUGCACAGCAUUUAAGACUGCAACAUUUUGGGAGUUUUUAAACACUUGGCUAUGCACAUUUGCAUAUGCCUUUAUUCAAUCUCUUUUACCUUGCAAUCCUCAAAGCUACAACUUUACCUUUAUGAAUUCUUGUGGUUAGUUUUCAUUUUUACAGUUAUUUUUGGGAGUUCACCACAUGAACUCUGGGACCUUCACAUUCUUUCCUCUCUUUUUUUCAAUUAAUUCCUGGAUUUCUGGUUUUACAAGGCUUUUGUAAUCUAAUGAUAACAACCAGAAAACACAUUGACUGUUCAUAUCUUGCUAGCCUACUACCUCUACCUUGCUCCGUUGAGCCAUUUUUAACAGCACUACCAAGUACAUGACUUAAGUUGCUAUCUCUUCCCAGUUAUUAAUACCUUGUUUGAAAAUACCAUGAAAAAUAUUAAAUGGGGAAAUAAAAUUUGUUUCCCAAAGCUAGCCAUUGAGUGGGUUCUAAGAUCUAUUGUCUGAUGGUUAGGAGGUUACUUCACAUGUUGUAUGGGCAAACUUCACCCUGCAGAAGAGAGCCAAGACACUACUUAAAUCUCAUGUUAUCCGUACACAGGGAAGAGGCUAGAUGCAGGCAGAAUGGCAGCACUGAAGCUACUACAUCCCUUACACACUAGAGACAGGAGGGCAGCAAGCUAACACCAAAUAGACUGGUGUGUAGAGAGCUAUUGUGGUAGCCAUGGAAGAGUUCUAUUAUGCAGACUCAAAUCACCCUCAUAGAGGUUAUAGAAGGGGUCCUCUGCAGUCCUCAACCUGAGCGUGGGUUGAGGGGCAACGCAUUCCAUCUCCUUUACCUAUGCAGACUUCUCUGAAUAAAACCUGAUUACUUAUAUAUGUGUGUGGGUGUAUGUUCAUUUCACCCUAUACAAAAUUUAGAAUCUUCUUAGAUAACAACUUUAUGACACAGCAAACACAUUUCUGAAAAUACUGUUUUUAAAGCAGAAACAUAUUUUACCUUCUGAGAUGGGCAAUAAAGAUUUGCUUCCCGAAUGACCCAAGGAAAAAAAAUCAAAUGGAAAAGUAGUAAUUACUCCCAAACCUUCCAUGAGUCUAUCAGACUAUUGAAAUUUUGGACUGUCUCUUUAAUUUGAGGAACAGCUAAAAAGACGACAGAUGGCAGACAGAAUUGACUUAUGUCCUCUAUUCUUUACAGAAAAGGGGGGAGUGCAGAAAGUUUGAUAAAGGCAGAAGCUACAGUAUGCAGGCCUGUACUAUAACUAUCUAAUGGUGCUUUUGACUGAUAGGGUUAGAACAUUUAGUUUUUCUUCCACAGACAUGCUUUGUAGCAAACCAACAGUCCUGGAGGUUGCCAUGGGUGAUGAGAGUGCUGACAUCCAGUCCCAAGUACAAAUAAGCACAUGACAAAUGGCCCUACAGCCCUUAGACAGCCCUGAACCUUGGUGACCCCCUAAAAACCCAACCAUCCCCAUGCCCCUCCAAAAAGCAUUAUGGAAUACAUUUUAAAAAGUGCAAGCUUACAGUUAAUUGAAAACACUGCUGGGUAACAGAAAUGCUUAGGACAGCAUGCACAAGUAAAAAUAAAUCACAUAGCAUUGUUAUUUAAUGCUCUGUGACAUCAUUUCCUGAAAUUAAACAGAGAUGACACAGAUUCAGAGAGUCCCUGGUAAGGUUCAGUUCAAACAAUUCACAGAUGUUUUCCCCCAGCUAGCAGAAAACAAUGCAAAAGCUUAAAUCUCUCUCUCUCUCUCUUUGCUGGAGCAAGAAGGCCCCAUGUUAUGGACAGUGCAUUGUUGUGCUGCCCCAGGAGAACCGGAGUCAGAUGAUGACUCUGAAGUUCUUCCCAUUUCCUGACAACCAGCUCCAUUGAGACUGCUUUCCUUGCUGCUCCAGAUCACAAAAACAGGAACAUCCUCAUCAAAGCUGCUGAACUUCCUCAAUUCAUGUGGGCAAAGGAGGUGGUGGAGAAUGGAGGGGGUGGAUUUCCAAAAGGCAAAGCCGUGAGGAUUUUUUCUCAAGAUAAGUGAGAGAUAGCUGAUUGUUCAGUAAGCAUGUGUUGAAUGCUUUCAAUGCGCACACAAGAAAGAAAGGAAGCAAGGGGGGGAAAACAAGAAAUUGAAAACUUUGGUAAGAGUUAAGGAAAUGAACAUGAAGGCUUGUGUGAAAGAAAAUGGAUUAUUUGUGGGCCGUGGUUUUAGCUGUUUCCCCUUGCUGUUCCUGUAGUCAUACUCUCCAGCUAAAAAUGAAAAACCCUCUCCUCACACUCACUCGACUUCCAAAUUAAAAACAUUUUACAGGUUAGUAAAUCUCCAGCUGAGGUGAUGUAGCAAAGAACAGCUGUGAAGUAAUUUUGAUAAUGAUGAGAAUAAUAAGCACAUGGCAAGGUUCAGGGCUUUGCUGUUGCAGCUUCAGUGCUCCUGAAUAGAUAAAAGUGAUUAAAUACUCCUGAUUAUCCCUGACCAAUAUGUAAUGGAUUUACAGCCCUUUCAAUUAGUCAGUAUUUGCUUAGGACUCAUUAUUUUGUCUUUGGUUAAGUAAUCAGCCCAGAGACUCAUGUUCUGUCUAAUUCCUCUGAGCCAAGUGGGUACAGGGCACCUGACCUUUGAAAUGGCCAUAGCUGGAAGGCAAGAAUAACCACUACUCCAGCAGAGACACUGGCUAUUCUAGCUAAUCCUGACCCCACAGGCCAGAUCAAUGCACCUUAGUUUGCUACUAAUGUCCUUACAUCAAAAUGAUGGUUUAGAAAUGUGGAUCUACUUACUGCUCCCCUGCCUCCCCUUAGCUGUUCUACGAGCCACUGCUAUAAAUAAAAGGGUUACCUUGUCCAGGAAUCACGACACUGUAACAUCAGCAACUAUGGACAUGUGUAACUUUGGUAAUCAGAAAGAAGCCCUUAUGUGAGGUAGUUAGCCGUGCUAUUAUCUUUUUAAUCAUUAGCCCAAACGGAAUGAGGAGGGAACAAUUUCAUAGGAAGAGGUGAAAAAAAAAUCUAUCAUCAAUGAUAUUUUUACCAUUUUCUAACAUUUCCAUCUGACUAGUAAACUAUAGGAGAGUUACCAGUUCUUUAAAAAUGUAUUUUGAUACUUAAGUAAAGCUGUCAUAGUCAACAGAACACCAACACACAAAACCAGUUGCAAACAGGAGGACAAAGAUAGAUUGUUACUAAAAGUGAUGCUUUUUCAGAUAUUUAAUCUCUUUCCCCCAGAAGAGAAUAGGGCUAGCUUUUAAGAUAAUGGACUUGAAGAACAGCUUUAAAAGAAAAAAAAGUGUUUUAAUCUCUUUUAUAGAACUGAGGAAUUAGAGAGCCUAUAAGCUUUCUAUAUUUCUCAUGUAAACUAACACAUGACAAGUUUGCAAGCUGUUUUAUGACUUCUCCAGCAUCCUGCAAUGUACGUUGGAAUAGCUACACUGGGGAAUAUUACUUGCCUUCCGAAACAUAUAAGGGUUGUUGUAAACAAAAGCCAUAAAUAACCCAAUCCAGAGGAUGGAGUGAUUCAACACCUUGAUUAAUUGUCACUAUAUCUAUCUAUCUACAGACACACACUAUAUUCCAAAUGAAGAAACCCCUUUUCAUCUUAAGAACAUUUUGAACAGUUCUCACUAUUGGAACGCAAAGCAAAAAUGACUACCUUCUACUGUAAUACUGUUUCAUGCUAAGAUCUUAUGAUGUAUAUUCAACUUGUCAUGAUUCCAAGACUGAAAUAAAUAAAUACAGAAAAAAGCUUCUGAAAAAAAAUAAAAGUGAUCACUGAUCCCUACUAUCAUUCAGGAAAUGAUGGAGACAAUUGAUUUCUAAUAAUAACGAACAAACCUCAUCAGGCAUAUGAACAAAAAUUUAUUUUUUAUGUUUUUAUUAGUUUG
Molecule: non-coding RNA, 18414 nt
Organism: Pelodiscus sinensis (Chinese soft-shelled turtle)
Lineage: Eukaryota; Metazoa; Chordata; Testudines; Trionychidae
Source: RefSeq, a predicted model, not a curated record